RNAcentral lists this ribosomal RNA (253 nucleotides) under uncultured bacterium. RNAcentral's name for it is "partial 16S ribosomal RNA". It matches the Rfam family "Bacterial small subunit ribosomal RNA", at positions 524 to 776 of the family's 1533-position model. The record is from RNAcentral.
UACAGAGGGGGCAAGCGUUAUUCGGAAUUAUUGGGCGUAAAGGGCGCGUAGGCGGCCAUUCAAGUGACGGGUGAAAGCCCUCGGCUUAACCGAGGAACUGCCUGUCAGACUGGAUGGCUUGAGACCGGGAGAGGUGAGUGGAAUUCCCAGUGUAGCGGUGAAAUGCGUAGAUAUUGGGAGGAACACCAGUGGCGAAGGCGGCUCACUGGACCGGAACUGACGCUGAGGCGCGAAAGCGUGGGGAGCGAACAGG